UGCCUACGGGGCGCAGCAGUCGGGAAUAUUGCGCAAUGGAGGAAACUCUGACGCAGUGACGCCGCGUGCAGGAAGAAGGUUUUCGGAUUGUAAACUGCUUUAGACAGGGAAGAUAAUGACAGUACCUGUAGAAUAAGCUCCGGCUAACUACGUGCCAGCAGCCGCGGUAAUACGUAGGGAGCAAGCGUUAUCCGGAUUUACUGGGUGUAAAGGGGGCGCAGACGGCAAUGCAAGCCAGGAGUGAAAGCCCGGGGCCCAACCCCGGGACUGCUCUUGGAACUGCAUGGCUGGAGUACAGGAGGGGG
Molecule: ribosomal RNA, 305 nt
Filed under: uncultured bacterium
Lineage: Bacteria
Description: bacterial SSU rRNA
Rfam family: Bacterial small subunit ribosomal RNA
Source: RNAcentral